This 231-nucleotide ribosomal RNA is filed under the name uncultured bacterium. RNAcentral's name for it is "partial 16S ribosomal RNA". It matches the Rfam family "Bacterial small subunit ribosomal RNA", at positions 118 to 347 of the family's 1533-position model. The record is from RNAcentral.
UGAGGAACAUGACCUUCGGCGGGGGAUAGCCGGCCCAACGGCCGGGUAAUACCGCGUACGACCACAUGGGGACAUCCCUGAGUGGUGAAAGCAGCAAUGCGCCGAUGGAGUGCCUCGCGGCCUAUCAGCUAGUUGGUGAGGUAACGGCUCACCAAGGCGACGACGGGUAGCUGGUCUGAGAGGAUGGCCAGCCACAUUGGGACUGAGACACGGCCCAGACCUCUACGGGGA